Molecule: non-coding RNA, 1898 nt
Organism: Camellia sinensis
Lineage: Eukaryota; Viridiplantae; Streptophyta; Magnoliopsida; Ericales; Theaceae
Source: RefSeq, a predicted model, not a curated record
AGAAAAAAAGGGAGGAAGAGUGUUGUUCGCAAAUCAAGUGGUAAGAAGAUUAAAGAGAUGAAUAAGGGUUAUCCUGAGCUUGCAAAAAGAUAUGGACACAAAGGAGCUUCAUCAAGUAAAUUGGGCCCAAAAAGGACAUGGAGAGCAGCAACUACAGCAGUAUUUAUUUCAUCAUCAACAGCUAGUGGAGGGGCUAGAGACAGAAAUAUGGUUAAAGAGGCUCAUGAAACUCUAUAACUGGGAAAAUUAUUGGGACUAAAUUACAAAGGGAAUGAAGAGGAAGUGUUGUCCAAAAUUAUGGAGCUAGAGGCAAAGGAUAGAGCAAGAAUGGGAGGGGGUACUGAUGCUGCAGCUUAAAGUGUAGCUUUGGGGGUCAGAGAUCAGUGUUAAUGGUUAAUGAUGAAGGUAACAUGGAAUGUGAGGGGUUUGGAAACGAAGGAAAAAAUGAGUAAAAUAAAAAGCAUGUUAAAAGCUAGAGGAAUUGACAUUGUUCUAUUACAAGAGACAAAGAAAGCAUCUAUGUUAGAAGAGGAGGUACAUGAAUUAUGGGCUAGGGAUAGGAUGAAAUUCAUGACAGUGGAUGCUGAAGGAACUACUGGUGGCUUAUUAUGCAUAUGGGAUCCAGGAGUGCUGCAAGUCUCAAGUUGCUGCUGUAAUUGAAGAUUUAUUCUUCUAUCAGGAUUUUGGUUGAUCUUGAUUGGCUUUUGUGCUUCUUUUGCGGUGCUAACCUAGUUGGGAUUGUAGAGUUGGGUCAAGAUACGGGCAGCACGGAUUAUGGUGUUGGCCCGUGUGGGGACCAGACGUUGUGCCUGGCUGAGUUGCAUCAACACAAUGCUUCGACCCACUACAAUUGGCCAGGCUAUAUGUAGCUUGGGCGUACGGUGGCUUGUGGAUGCAUAGCCAGGUGAGGACUAUGCGGAACGGGAUGGUUGUCGAGCUAUGGAUAGUUUCGACUGAUGUGGGGACAGAUGACUCUUGAGAUCGGUGUGCGGGGCCAAGAUAUCAAACGGCACGCCCGUGUCUAGGCUGUUCUCAUGGAUUGGUUCGGUUUUGCUCGGCUAUGUCUGUCUAUUGUGAUGCUUGUGUUUCACCAAGUAAUGGCUUGGCCCAGCACUCCACAGGGACCGAUGAAGAGAAAGGGGGCAAUCCAUUCCCGGUAUGCGUCAAUACCGUUUGGCGGUGCGACAAAUAUUGUUUGGAGAUUUUAGUCUCUACACGUGUAAGAAAGGUAAAGGAGAACAUAGCCGCCUAUCUAGAGAAGGACAGCAGAGGUAGUGUGUCCACAACCUCUGAGGCUACAUAGCCAACCUUGAAAAGGAGGAGCAUGCAGACGAUGAAGGUAAGCAAUCGGAAGGAAUUUCCAACUCUCUCUCUAUAGUGCUCUCUUCUUCUUCUUCAUGUGUGCUGACUUGAUCGUCGGAGGGUUUAUCUGGCAGAACACCGCUGGGCAGCUCACCAUCUUUCUGUUCUCAAGUUAAGCAACGUUACGUGAAGCUUUGAUUCAAGGAAUACGGAGAACUGAAAAUAUUUCACUCCUGUGCGCUAUCUAUAACUACUAUUACAAGGAGAUUAAGACAUCUACAAUGAUUAUGGUCUCAUUUAUUUAAAAGACAAAUGUUAAUAAGUAUUUUUAGUGCAUUAUUGUUCCUAUCUAUUGUUAGAAAUGAUUGGAAAAAUUUUGGGUAAAACUAGAAUUGUUUCCUAAGUUUGGUCUAUUUUUUAGGUGGGACCCGAGCGUCGAUUUUCACGAGUCAAAGUGGUAAUGCGUUCUAUGCCACGUUGUGAUUCACGUGGUAUAUUUGGUUGCUCAAAACCAUUAUCGAAUCAAUGGGAAAUUAAAACCAAAGUGUGUUCCAUGGAAAUGGAGUUUUGGUGAAAAUUUCUUGAGGUUUGUGUAA